GUGUCAGCCGCCGCGGUAAUACGGAGGAUGCAAGCGUUAUCCGGAAUCAUUGGGCGUAAAGCGUCCGCAGGUGGCACUUCAAGUCUGCUGUCAAAGGUCGGGGCUUAACUCCGAACAGGCAGUGGAAACUGAAGUGCUCGAGUGCGGUAGGGGCAGAGGGAAUUCCUGGUGUAGCGGUGAAAUGCGUAGAGAUCAGGAAGAACACCGGUGGCGAAAGCGCUCUGCUAGGCCGCAACUGACACUCAGGGACGAAAGCUAGGGGAGCGAAUGGGAUUAGAUACCCCAGUAGUCCUAGCUGUAAACGAUGGAUACUAGGCGUUGCUUGUAUCGACCCAAGCAGUGCCGUAGCUAACGCGUUAAGUAUCCCGCCUGGGGAGUACGCACGCAAGUGUGAAACUCAAAGGAAUUGACGGGG
This 415-nucleotide ribosomal RNA is filed under the name uncultured prokaryote. RNAcentral's name for it is "bacterial SSU rRNA". It matches the Rfam family "Bacterial small subunit ribosomal RNA", at positions 505 to 918 of the family's 1533-position model. The record is from RNAcentral.